CGGCAGGCCUACACAUGCAGUCGAGCGGAUGAAGGGAGCUUGCUCCUGGAUUCAGCGGCGGACGGGUGAGUAAUGCCUAGGAAUCUGCCUGGUAGUGGGGGAUAACGUCCGGAAACGGGCGCUAAUACCGCAUACGUCCUGAGGGAGAAAGUGGGGGAUCUUCGGACCUCACGCUAUCAGAUGAGCCUAGGUCGGAUUAGCUAGUUGGUGGGGUAAAGGCCUACCAAGGCGACGAUCCGUAACUGGUCUGAGAGGAUGAUCAGUCACACUGGAACUGAGACACGGUCCAGACUCCUACGGGAGGCAGCAGUGGGGAAUAUUGGACAAUGGGCGAAAGCCUGAUCCAGCCAUGCCGCGUGUGUGAAGAAGGUCUUCGGAUUGUAAAGCACUUUAAGUUGGGAGGAAGGGCAGUAAGUUAAUACCUUGCUGUUUUGACGUUACCAACAGAAUAAGCACCGGCUAACUUCGUGCCAGCAGCCGCGGUAAUACGAAGGGUGCAAGCGUUAAUCGGAAUUACUGGGCGUAAAGCGCGCGUAGGUGGUUCAGCAAGUUGGAUGUGAAAUCCCCGGGCUCAACCUGGGAACUGCAUCCAAAACUACUGAGCUAGAGUACGGUAGAGGGUGGUGGAAUUUCCUGUGUAGCGGUGAAAUGCGUAGAUAUAGGAAGGAACACCAGUGGCGAAGGCGACCACCUGGACUGAUACUGACACUGAGGUGCGAAAGCGUGGGGAGCAAACAGGAUUAGAUACUCUGGUAGUCCACGCCGUACACGAUGUCGACUAGCCGUUGGGAUCCUUGAGAUCUUAGUGGCGCAGCUAACGCGAUAAGUCGACCGCCU
RNAcentral lists this ribosomal RNA (837 nucleotides) under Pseudomonas aeruginosa. Its description in RNAcentral is "bacterial SSU rRNA". It matches the Rfam family "Bacterial small subunit ribosomal RNA", at positions 40 to 874 of the family's 1533-position model. The record is from RNAcentral. Lineage: Bacteria; Pseudomonadati; Pseudomonadota; Gammaproteobacteria; Pseudomonadales; Pseudomonadaceae.